RNAcentral lists this transfer RNA (62 nucleotides) under Talonostrea talonata. RNAcentral describes it as "Crassostrea talonata tRNA-His". Lineage: Eukaryota; Metazoa; Mollusca; Bivalvia; Ostreida; Ostreidae. The record is from RNAcentral.
GCUUAGGUAGUUUAAAAAACGUCAACUUGUGGUGUUGGAGAUGUCUUCACAGGCCCUGAGUA